UAGAUCAUCGAAGGUGAUGGUUUAUGAAGGGUUCAAGGACAUUCUCAAGAUCCAGAAGUUCAGGAGGUUCGUGAGGUACUCUGUGUUCUACUGCUUCACUGCCGUCUUGAGCUAUGCCCACACCAACAACACUACUAGAGUUGGAUAUUCUAGAGGAGACCAGUAUUAUGCGGCUUACCCCGCCGGAACCUAGCUAUUGGGUGAUUUUGAUAAGUUGUACAAAGCCGCUCUUGGCAAUUGCUUCGAAGCAGAAGAGUGGGGUCCCAUCGAGUUCUGCAUCAUGUCCAAGCACUUUGAGCGCCAAGGAAAAGCGCCAUAUGCAUAUCAUGCUGCAAGCUUCACAGAGUCCCAAGUAUCUCAACAAUAUGUGGCGCACCUUCUCUCCCUUGGACAACUAGAUGGAUCUGGAUAGAGAGAAAAUGCUGAUACUGAGAGAUUUAUUUGUUGGACUGUGUAAAGAUGGUAAUUGCAGGAUACAGGGAACAUCUUCCUGUUUAGGUUUGUUAAAAAUCGUAAAACCAAGAGCCCAUGGCUAAUUUUUAUAAUUAAUAUGCUGUAUGGUAUUAAGUUUAAAAUGAAAAGAGUAUGAUUUGAUCGUGCUGUUCAGGGAUUCUAUCAUUGCUUCUGAUCAAUUUAUGUUGCCCUGUUUUGGAUUGGUAUUCA
Eucalyptus grandis is the source of this 663-nucleotide RNA transcript. RefSeq lists it as uncharacterized. The transcript is spliced from 5 exons. NCBI's taxonomy places the organism in Eukaryota, Viridiplantae, Streptophyta, Magnoliopsida, Myrtales, Myrtaceae. The record is from RefSeq and is a predicted model, not a curated record.